CGAACAAACGCUGGCGGCGUGUCUUAAGCAUGCAAGUUGAGCGGCAAGGAGGAGAGAUCCUCCCUAGAGCAGCGGACUGGUGAGUAACGCGUGGGUAAUCUAUCUUAGGCAUGGGGAUAGUCACUAGAAAUAGUGGGUAAUACCGAAUAAGUUCCAUAAGGGGAGGACUUAUGGAAGAAAGGUGCUACGGCACUGGCCUUAGGUGAGCUCGCGUCCCAUUAGCUAGUUGGUGAGGUAAAGGCCCACCAAGGCGAUGAUGGGUAGCCGGCCUGAGAGGGUGUACGGCCACACUGGGACUGAGAUACGGCCCAGACUCCUACGGGAGGCAGCAGCUAAGAAUAUUCCGCAAUGGACGGAAGUCUGACGGAGCGACGCCGCGUGGAUGAAGAAGGCCGAAAGGUUGUAAAGUUCUUUUGCUAGGGGAGAAUAAGUGUGGGAGGGAAUGCCUGCACGAUGACAAGGACUAGCGAAUAAGUCCCGGCCAACUACGUG
RNAcentral lists this ribosomal RNA (492 nucleotides) under uncultured bacterium. RNAcentral's name for it is "bacterial SSU rRNA". It matches the Rfam family "Bacterial small subunit ribosomal RNA", at positions 27 to 507 of the family's 1533-position model. The record is from RNAcentral.